AGUGAACGCUGGCGGUAGGCCUAACACAUGCAAGUCGAACGGCAGCACAGUAAGAGCUUGCUCUUACGGGUGCGAGUGGCGGACGGGUGAGGAAUACAUCGGAAUCUACUUUUUCGUGGGGGAUAACGUAGGGAAACUUACGCUAAUACCGCAUACGACCUACGGGUGAAAGCAGGGGAUCUUCGGACCUUGCGCGAUUGAAUGAGCCGAUGUCGGAUUAGCUAGUUGGCGGGGUAAAGGCCCACCAAGGCGACGAUCCGUAGCUGGUCUGAGAGGAUGAUCAGCUACACUGGAACUGAGACACGGUCCAGACUCCUACGGGAGGCAGCAGUGGGGAAUAUUGGACAAUGGGCGCAAGCCUGAUCCAGCCAUACCGCGUGGGUGAAGAAGGCCUUCGGGUUGUAAAGCCCUUUUGUUGGGAAAGAAAAGCAGCAGGUUAAUACCCCGCUGUUCUGACGGUACCCAAAGAGUAAGCACCGGCUAACUUCGUG
This 491-nucleotide ribosomal RNA is filed under the name uncultured bacterium. RNAcentral describes it as "partial 16S ribosomal RNA". It matches the Rfam family "Bacterial small subunit ribosomal RNA", at positions 29 to 507 of the family's 1533-position model. The record is from RNAcentral.